AAAUAAUGCAAAUAAAGAUAAAGAUAAAAAUAAUAAUAAAAUAUAUAUAUGAGCAACUUAAAUAGUAAUAUAUAUUUAUUAAAAUUAAUGAAUUAUAAUUAAUCGUUUAAUGCAAUCAAAGAUCCCAUAUGCAUACAGAAAAACGUUACACAGCUUGUAUCGUCAAUAUUAAGGGGCUUAGAAGUGACUUUCUUUUGGAGCUAGGGCAGAAACUCUGUUGAAAAAGAAUCCGGAGGACUAUCCAGACAAUGAUGCCAAAGAUCCUGAUCUUAUUCCUCCAAAAUCAAACUAUUUCGACUAUCCGUCCGAAGAAAGAGAGUGGUAUUCAUUCAGAAGAAGCAAAGCCACAGAUAAAAUCUAUGACAACCACAUACCAGGUUCGCAUCCUUUGUACGAUAGCGGAGGACCAAGCACAGCUCCUUGUCAAACUUCGAUCAAGGUACGUCCAACACGCACAUGUUAAAGUAAUUUUAGUAAUUAAAUAAUAAAUAUAUAUAUAUAUAUAUAUAUAUGAGUGUGUGUGUGUGUAUACUUGUCAUCU
This 541-nucleotide long non-coding RNA is filed under the name Androctonus crassicauda. Lineage: Eukaryota; Metazoa; Arthropoda; Arachnida; Scorpiones; Buthidae. The record is from RNAcentral.